Non-coding RNA from Pelobates cultripes (western spadefoot toad), 230 nucleotides. NCBI's taxonomy places the organism in Eukaryota, Metazoa, Chordata, Amphibia, Anura, Pelobatidae. The record is from the annotation of a GenBank genome assembly.
GGCUUCUCUUUUUUCCUAUCAGCUUCAAAAUUCAAGACCUGGCCAUUUACCUUUACUUUAAACAAAAUCCUUCCACUUUAUGUAAUGAAUAUAUAAUUAUUCGUAAUUCAGCUGUUAAGCAACUACUUACCACCUUGCAUGAUCUGCAUGUAGCUAUUAUGUACAGUCACUUGAUGUAACACUAAUGCAACCCCCAAUAUAGCCCUAUACCCUACCAAUGUCAUGCCCCC